AAUAUCUGAAGUAGAGAAUGUGCUGCUACGCACCGUAAGGUCAAAAGAAAUGCAAGAUUGGCACACUUGCCUGAUAUU
This 78-nucleotide non-coding RNA is filed under the name Amedibacterium intestinale. RNAcentral's name for it is "skipping-rope RNA". It matches the Rfam family "skipping-rope RNA". Rfam says of the family: Firmicutes, Fusobacteria, AlphaProteobacteria, Spirochaetes. Downstream gene Lineage: Bacteria; Bacillati; Bacillota; Erysipelotrichia; Erysipelotrichales; Erysipelotrichaceae. The record is from Rfam by way of RNAcentral. RNAcentral also lists the same sequence under 1 other name.